CAGACACAAUCACUUCACUCAGAGGGGGAGUCUCAUCUCUGAAGAACUGCAUUCUGGGUAUGAAGAUGCUGAUGAGCUUCUCUCAGAAGAGAUGGUGAAGGAAAUCACACCGGGAUAUUAUGAUGAUGUCAUCACUGAUGGACUGAAACCAGAUCGUGAGACAGAAGACACACCUGAGAGCUAUGAUGAUGUCAUGACAAGGGGACAGAACUCU
Molecule: long non-coding RNA, 214 nt
Organism: Cyprinus carpio (common carp)
Lineage: Eukaryota; Metazoa; Chordata; Actinopteri; Cypriniformes; Cyprinidae
Exons: 4
Source: RefSeq, a predicted model, not a curated record